UCUGCUCAAUGAAAAUUUAUUUAAAUAGCUGCAGUAUUUUGACUGUACAAAGGUAGCAUAAUCAUUUGUCUUUUUAUUAAAGUCUGGAAUGAAAGAUUGAAUGAAAUAAAAACUGUCUCAAAUUAAUUAUAUUAUUAAAAUUUAUUUUAAGUAAAAAUUCUUAAAUUUUAUAAAAAGACGAGAAGACCCUAUAGAAUUUUAUAAAUAAUUAAUAUUAUUUAUAAUAAAUAAUAAAUAAUAUUAAUUUAUUUAUUUUGUUGGGGUGACAAAAAAAUUAAUUUAAUUUUUUUAAUAUAUUUACAUUAUGAAUGAUUAUAUUAUCCAAUACUAUUGAAUAUAUAUUAAAUUACCUUAGGGAUAACAGCGUUAAAUUUUUAGAGAGUUCAUAUUGAUAAAAAUUAUUGCGACCUCGAUGUUGAAUUAAAAUAAAUUAUUAUUGAAGAAAAUAAUACA
Molecule: ribosomal RNA, 453 nt
Filed under: Pachyneuron aphidis
Lineage: Eukaryota; Metazoa; Arthropoda; Insecta; Hymenoptera; Pteromalidae
Description: partial 16S ribosomal RNA
Source: RNAcentral